This 220-nucleotide unclassified non-coding RNA is filed under the name Xenylla humicola. Its description in RNAcentral is "sequence contains ITS2". The record is from RNAcentral. Lineage: Eukaryota; Metazoa; Arthropoda; Collembola; Poduromorpha; Hypogastruridae.
AUAGUCUUUGAACUAUUUCAUCGCCAAGUCCUAAAAAAGCUUGGUUAGAGUUUAUGGUGAGUCUUAUGACYGUAUCUGCCUUGUAGGUUUUAGAUGUAUCUUGAUAAACCUCGGUAGCAAACUAUGUAAUUCAAUUCYAUGAUUGKAAAGGAUACAUGAGACUGUCACUUGAAAAAUCUAUUUAAUUUCUCUCGRAAAUUAUUUAAAAACCUCAUACUUG